CCUACGGGGGGCAGCAGUGAGGAAUAUUGGUCAAUGGGCGGAAGCCUGAACCAGCCAAGUAGCGUGCAGGAUGACGGCCCUACGGGUUGUAAACUGCUUUUAUACGGGAAUAACGCGCCUUACGUGUAGGGCUUUGCAUGUACCGUAUGAAUAAGGACCGGCUAAUUCCGGGCCAGCAGCCGCGGUAAUACGGAAGGUCCGGGCGGUAUCCGGAUUUUUUGGGUUUAAAGGGAGCGUAGGCCGCAUGUCAAGCGUGCUGUGAAAUGUCUGGGCUCAACCCGCGCCUUGCAGCGCGAACUGGCGUGCUUGAGUCCGCGGAAAGCAGGCGGAAUUCGUCGUGUAGCGGUGAAAUGCUUAGAUAUGACGAAGAACCCCGAUUGCGAAGGCAGCUUGCUGCAGCGGAACUGACGCUGAUGCACGAAAGCGCGGGUAUCGAACAGGAUUAGAUACCCUUGUAGUC
RNAcentral lists this ribosomal RNA (460 nucleotides) under uncultured bacterium. RNAcentral describes it as "partial 16S ribosomal RNA". It matches the Rfam family "Bacterial small subunit ribosomal RNA", at positions 338 to 795 of the family's 1533-position model. The record is from RNAcentral.